AGCCCUUGCUGGGAGGGAGCCUGGAUCACCCGUGCACAGCACGUCCCAUGGGUGAUGCUCAGAGAGGAGCUGGUGCAGAAGCCUGCGGUGCCACGAAGUCCUCGAGCCCCUCGGAGGGGCUCCGCCCUGGUGUUAUCUGCAGUCACUGCUGCUGCUGAGCAGCAGAAAGGAGAUGCUGCCUGGCUGGAUGCGAGCAAUUAAAGCGAGAAUUGGGAAGGUUGGAGCCUGCCUGGCUGGCCGCACGGCGUGGGCACGGUGGUGCAAGGAGUAUGGCCCCCGUGGCCGAGCCGUUCGCAUCCAUCCCCAGCACAAUGCAUCACCUUGCUCAAGAGAAGCUCCGGAGAGAAAUAUUGCUGAGCCCAUCCCGAAUCGUAAGUCUGCAGACUCCACCAGCCCGGCAGAGCGGCUGCUGCGGCCGGGGCAGGCGGCCAGGAGACAGCUCAGCAUCUCGGGGAGGGGGGAAAAGUGGGGUCAGCAUUCCCUGAAAAGAACUCCCUUUCUUUUUAAUGCCUUCAACCUUUUUUUUUUUCCAAAAUAAAAUAUACAUUAAAAAAAAAAAAAAAGAGCUGAGAAUGUGCUGGCGUUUAGCUUUGUAAUAAAACCUCAAAUUUCAUUAACA
Molecule: long non-coding RNA, 619 nt
Filed under: Anser cygnoides (Swan goose)
Lineage: Eukaryota; Metazoa; Chordata; Aves; Anseriformes; Anatidae
Description: lncRNA (ENSACDG00005011139.1)
Source: RNAcentral